AUACGUAGGUGACAAGCGUUAUCCGGAUUUACUGGGCGUAAAGGGCGUGUAGGCGGUCUUGCAAGUCAGAAGUGAAAUUCCUGAGCUCAACUCGGGCGCUGCUUCUGAAACUGCAGGACUUGAGUGCUGGAGGGGAUAGCGGAAUUCCUAGUGGAGCGGUAAAAUGCGCAGAUAUUAGGAGGAACACCAGUGGCGAAGGCGGCUUUCUGGACAGUAACUGACGCUGAGGCGCGAAAGCGUGGGUAGCGAACAGGAUUAGAUACCCUGGUAGUCCACGCCGUAAACGAUGGAUACUAGGUGUAGGAGGUAUCGACCCCUUCUGUGCCGGAGUUAACACAAUAAGUAUCCCACCUGGGGAGUACGGCCGCAAGGUUGAAACUCAAAUGAAUUGACGGGG
RNAcentral lists this ribosomal RNA (397 nucleotides) under uncultured bacterium. Its description in RNAcentral is "partial 16S ribosomal RNA". It matches the Rfam family "Bacterial small subunit ribosomal RNA", at positions 523 to 918 of the family's 1533-position model. The record is from RNAcentral.